CUGCUGCCUCCCGUAGGAGUUUGGGCCGUGUCUCAGUCCCAAUGUGGCCGUCCGCCCUCUCAGGCCGGCUACCGAUCGUCGCUUUGGUGGGCCUCUACCCCGCCAACUGGCUAAUCGGACGCGGGUCCAUCCCAUACCACCGGAGCUUUUCACACUGUAUCAUGCGAUACCGUGCGCUUAUGCGGUAUUAGCAGCCGUUUCCGGCUGGUAUCCCCCGGUAUGGGGCAGGUUGCCCACGCGUUACUCACCCGUCCGCCACUAA
Molecule: ribosomal RNA, 262 nt
Filed under: uncultured bacterium
Lineage: Bacteria
Description: partial 16S ribosomal RNA
Source: RNAcentral